Molecule: ribosomal RNA, 553 nt
Filed under: uncultured bacterium
Lineage: Bacteria
Description: bacterial SSU rRNA
Rfam family: Bacterial small subunit ribosomal RNA
Source: RNAcentral
UGGCGAACGGGUUAGUAACGCGUGGGAACAUACACAGCACAGGGGGAUAACCAUUGGAAACGAUGGCUAAUACCGCAUACGCCCUAUUGGGGAAAGAUUUAUCGGUGUUGGAUUGGCCCGCGUUAGAUUAGCUAGUUGGUGGGGUAAUGGCUCACCAAGGCGACGAUUUAUAGCUGGUUUGAGAGGAUGAUCAGCAACACUGGAACUGAGACACGGUCCAGACUCCUACGGGAGGCAGCAGUCGGGAAUAUUGUGCAAUGGGGGCAACCCUGACACAGCCAUGCCGCGUGAGUGAAGAAGGCCUUAGGGUUGUAAAGCUCUUUCAGAUGUGAGGAUGAUGACGAUAGCAUCAGAAGAAGCUCCGGCUAACUUCGUGCCAGCAGCCGCGGUAAUACGAAGGGAGCUAGCGUUGUUCGGAAUUACUGGGCGUAAAGGGCGUGUAGGCGGAUUAUCAAGUUAGGGGUGAAAUCCCGGGGCUCAACCUCGGCACUGCCUUUAAGACUGAUAAUCUAGAGUAUGUGAGGGGAUAAUGGAAUACCUAGUGUAGAGGUGA